This 762-nucleotide ribosomal RNA is filed under the name Billgrantia desiderata. Its description in RNAcentral is "bacterial SSU rRNA". It matches the Rfam family "Bacterial small subunit ribosomal RNA", at positions 70 to 818 of the family's 1533-position model. The record is from RNAcentral. Lineage: Bacteria; Pseudomonadati; Pseudomonadota; Gammaproteobacteria; Oceanospirillales; Halomonadaceae.
CACGGGAAGCUUGCUUCCUGGUGGCGAGCGGCGGACGGGUGAGUAAUGCAUAGGAAUCUGCCCGGUAGUGGGGGAUAACCUGGGGAAACCCAGGCUAAUACCGCAUACGCCCUACGGGGGAAAGCAGGGGCUCUUCGGACCUUGCGCUAUCGGAUGAGCCUAUGUCGGAUUAGCUGGUUGGUGAGGUAAUGGCUCACCAAGGCGACGAUCCGUAGCUGGUCUGAGAGGAUGAUCAGCCACAUCGGGACUGAGACACGGCCCGAACUCCUACGGGAGGCAGCAGUGGGGAAUAUUGGACAAUGGGCGCAAGCCUGAUCCAGCCAUGCCGCGUGUGUGAAGAAGGCCCUCGGGUUGUAAAGCACUUUCAGUGGGGAAGAACGCCUGGUGGUUAAUACCCGCCAGGAAGGACAUCACCCACAGAAGAAGCACCGGCUAACUCCGUGCCAGCAGCCGCGGUAAUACGGAGGGUGCGAGCGUUAAUCGGAAUUACUGGGCGUAAAGCGCGCGUAGGUGGCUUGAUAAGCCGGUUGUGAAAGCCCCGAGGCUCAACCUGGGAACGGCAUCCGGAACUGUCAGGCUAGAGUGCAGGAGAGGAAGGGUAGAAUUUCCCGGUGUAGCGGUGAAAUGCGUAGAGAUCGGGGAGGAAUACCAGUGGGCGAAGGGCGGGCCUUCUGGACUGACACUGACACUGAGGUGCGAAAGCGUGGGUAGCAAACAGGAUUAGAUACCCUGGUAGUCCACGCCGGUAAACGAUGUCGACUA